Molecule: ribosomal RNA, 446 nt
Filed under: uncultured bacterium
Lineage: Bacteria
Description: partial 16S ribosomal RNA
Rfam family: Bacterial small subunit ribosomal RNA
Source: RNAcentral
UAGGGAAUCUUCCACAAUGGACGAAGUCUGAUGGAGCAACGCCGCGUGAGUGAUGAAGGGUUUCGGCUCGUAAAACUCUGUUGUUGGAGAAGAACGGGUGUCAGAGUAACUGUUGACAUCGUGACGGUAUCCAACCAGAAAGCCACGGCUAACUACGUGCCAGCAGCCGCGGUAAUACGUAGGUGGCAAGCGUUGUCCGGAUUUAUUGGGCGUAAAGCGAGCGCAGGCGGUUUUUUAGGUCUGAUGUGAAAGCCUUCGGCUUAACCGGAGAAGUGCAUCGGAAACCGGGAGACUUGAGUGCAGAAGAGGACAGUGGAACUCCAUGUGUAGCGGUGAAAUGCGUAGAUAUAUGGAAGAACACCAGUGGCGAAGGCGGCUGUCUGGUCUGCAACUGACGCUGAGGCUCGAAAGCAUGGGUAGCGAACAGGAUUAGAUACCCUGGUAGU